This 163-nucleotide ribosomal RNA is filed under the name Blumea oxyodonta. Its description in RNAcentral is "5.8S ribosomal RNA". It matches the Rfam family "5.8S ribosomal RNA". Rfam says of the family: 5.8S ribosomal RNA (5.8S rRNA) is a component of the large subunit of the eukaryotic ribosome. The record is from RNAcentral. Lineage: Eukaryota; Viridiplantae; Streptophyta; Magnoliopsida; Asterales; Asteraceae. RNAcentral also lists the same sequence under 1 other name.
GAACGACUCUCGGCAACGGAUAUCUCGGCUCACGCAUCGAUGAAGAACGUAGCAAAAUGCGAUACUUGGUGUGAAUUGCAGAAUCCCGUGAACCAUCGAGUUUUUGAACGCAAGUUGCGCCCGAAGCCAUUUGGUUGAGGGCACAUCUGCCUGGGCGUCACGU